RNAcentral lists this ribosomal RNA (425 nucleotides) under uncultured bacterium. Its description in RNAcentral is "partial 16S ribosomal RNA". It matches the Rfam family "Bacterial small subunit ribosomal RNA", at positions 354 to 796 of the family's 1533-position model. The record is from RNAcentral.
GUGGGGAAUCUUGCACAAUGGGCGAAAGCCUGAUGCAGCCAUGCCGCGUGAAUGAUGAAGGCCUUAGGGUUGUAAAAUUCUUUCGUCAGGGAUGAUAAUGACCGUACCUGAAGAAGAAGCCCCGGCUAACUUCGUGCCAACAGCCGCGGUAAUACGAAGGGGGCUAGCGUUGUUCGGAAUUACUGGGCGUAAAGCGCACGUAGGCGGACUUUUAAGUCAGGUGUGAAAUCCCGGGGCUCAACCUCGGAACUGCAUUUGAAACUGGAAGUCUUGAGAUCAGGAGAGGUUAGCGGAAUACCGAGUGUAGAGGUGAAAUUCGUAGAUAUUCGGUGGAACACCAGUGGCGAAGGCGGCUAACUGGACUGAUACUGACGCUGAGGUGCGAAAGUGUGGGGAGCAAACAGGAUUAGAUACCCCGGUAGUCC